RNAcentral lists this ribosomal RNA (288 nucleotides) under Triticum aestivum (bread wheat). RNAcentral's name for it is "partial small subunit ribosomal RNA". The record is from RNAcentral. Lineage: Eukaryota; Viridiplantae; Streptophyta; Magnoliopsida; Poales; Poaceae.
AUGUACACUGUUGAUGGAUCACGGUUCGAGGUCCCUUUGGUGUACCUUGGCACAAUGGUCUUCGGUGAGCUCCUGAGGAUGUCUCAAGAGGAAUUUGGCUUCUCUAGUGAUGGCAAGAUCAAAUUACCUUUUGAUGCCUCUGUGAUGGCCUAUGUGAUGUGUUUGAUUAGGAGAGAGGCCUCUGAAGAGGUUGAGAAGGCGUUCCUGAGCUCCAUAGCAAGGCCUUGCCACAGUGCGAGUUAUGUGGCUUCAGUGAAACUUAAUCAGCAAUUUGCUGUUUGUAGCUAG